Molecule: ribosomal RNA, 520 nt
Filed under: uncultured Glomus
Lineage: Eukaryota; Fungi; Glomeromycota; Glomeromycetes; Glomerales; Glomeraceae
Description: SSU rRNA
Rfam family: Eukaryotic small subunit ribosomal RNA
Source: RNAcentral
AGCAGCCGCGGUAAUUCCAGCUCCAAUAGCGUAUAUUAAAGUUGCUGCAGUUAAAAAGCUCGUAGUUGAAUUUCGGGACCAUCAUGUCGGUCGUGCCUCGGUACGUACUGGCAUUGUUGGUUUCUACCUUCUGACGAACCAUGAUGUCAUUUAUUUGGUGUCGUGGAAAAUCAGGACUGUUACUUUGAAAAAAUUAGAGUGUUUAAAGCAGGCUCACGCUUGAAUACAUUAGCAUGGAAUAAUGAAAUAGGACGUUUGAUUCUAUUUUGUUGGUUUCUAGGAUCGACGUAAUGAUUAAUAGGGAUAGUUGGGGGCAUUAGUAUUCAAUUGUCAGAGGUGAAAGUUCUUGGAUUUAUUGAAGACUAACUACUGCGAAAGCAUUUGCCAGGAUGUUUUCAUUAAUCAAGAACGAAAGUUAGGGGAUCGAAGACGAUCAGAUACCGUCGUAGUCUUAACCNUAAACUAUGCCGACUAGGGAUCGGAUGAUGUUAAUUUUUUGAANGACUCAUUCGGCGCCUUA